RNAcentral lists this ribosomal RNA (433 nucleotides) under uncultured bacterium. Its description in RNAcentral is "partial 16S ribosomal RNA". It matches the Rfam family "Bacterial small subunit ribosomal RNA", at positions 29 to 507 of the family's 1533-position model. The record is from RNAcentral.
AACGAACGCUGGCGGCAUGCCUAACACAUGCAAGUCGAACGAGACCUUCGGGUCUAGUGGCGCACGGGUGCGUAACGCGUGGGAACCUGCCCUUAGGUUCGGAAUAACUCCCCGAAAGGGGUGCUAAUACCGGAUAAUGUCUUAGGACCAAAGAUUUAUCGCCUUUGGAUGGGCCCGCGUUGGAUUAGCUAGUUGGUAGGGUAAAAGCCUACCAAGGCGACGAUCCAGAGCUGGUCUGAUAGGAUGCUCAGCAACACUGGGACUGAGACACGGCCCAGACUCCUACGGGAGGCAGCAGUGGGGUAUAUUGGACAAUGGGCGAAAGCCUGAUCCAGCAAUGCCGCGUGAGUGAUGAAGGCCUUAGUGUUGUAAAGCUCUUUUACCCGGGGUGAUAAUGACAGUACCGGGUGAAUAAGCUCCGGCUAACUCCGUG